This is a long non-coding RNA of Sarcophilus harrisii (Tasmanian devil), 393 nucleotides long. RefSeq lists it as uncharacterized. The transcript is spliced from 2 exons. The record is from RefSeq and is a predicted model, not a curated record. Lineage: Eukaryota; Metazoa; Chordata; Mammalia; Dasyuromorphia; Dasyuridae.
AUAUAUAUAAUUAUUUAUUUUUUAAUUAGAAUUCACUUCUUCCCACUCUCUGAUCUGUGGUGACUACCCCAGGAGAAAAGAUGUCCAGGAAGGUGCUCUGAUGAAGAUGUUUUGAGCUACAGGACAGAGUCAGGCCUUGGAAAAGAGGCAGAAAGCAGCAAAUCUCAACCUAAACCUAGAAAAAAAUACAUUGCAGAAGAAUCCAUAGGCUUCAUCAUACUGCCAAAAGGAUCCAUGACACAGAAAAAGAUGAAAAAUGUUUGGAAUAUGAUCUAGAGUCGUGAUUUGGGGGGGGGCCUAAGGAACUCCUGGGUGAGAAAUCACCUCCCAGUGCAAGUCAGUAUCUCCUCUGAAACUUAUAGCCUUGGAGACUUGCCCAGAGAGGAGAGAAGG